UACGUACCGUCCAAACGUUAUUCGGAUUCAUUGGGCUUAAAGGGUAUGUAGGCGGCGCUGUCAGUCGGGUGUGAAAUCCCUCGGCUCAACCGAGGAACUGCGCCCGAUACUGCAGCGCUCGAGGGAGACAGAGGUAAGCGGAACUGAUGGUGGAGCGGUGAAAUGCGUUGAUAUCAUCAGGAACACCGGUGGCGAAAGCGGCUUACUGGGUCUCUUCUGACGCUGAGAUACGAAAGCUAGGGGAGCGAACGGG
RNAcentral lists this ribosomal RNA (253 nucleotides) under uncultured bacterium. Its description in RNAcentral is "partial 16S ribosomal RNA". It matches the Rfam family "Bacterial small subunit ribosomal RNA", at positions 524 to 776 of the family's 1533-position model. The record is from RNAcentral.